CACGUAGGGGGCAAGCGUUGUCCGGAUUUAUUGGGCGUAAAGAGCUCGUAGGUGGUUCGGUAAGUCGGGUGUUAAACCCCCAGGCUCAACCUGGGGACGCCACUCGAUACUGCUGUGACUAGAGUCCGGUAGGGGAGCGUGGAAUUCCUGGUGUAGCGGUGAAAUGCGCAGAUAUCAGGAGGAACACCAGCGGCGAAGGCGACUACCUGGCCUGUUCUUGACGCUGAGGCGCGAAAGCUAGGGGAGCAAACGGG
This 254-nucleotide ribosomal RNA is filed under the name uncultured bacterium. Its description in RNAcentral is "partial 16S ribosomal RNA". It matches the Rfam family "Bacterial small subunit ribosomal RNA", at positions 524 to 776 of the family's 1533-position model. The record is from RNAcentral.